CAAGAUAAACAUAGACGUUGGUUGGUCAGACACAAACUCCACUGGCUUCGGUCUUGUAGCGAGAUCUUCCACGACGGAGAUGCUUGUCCCGACAACUCAUCUUCAAGCUCAUCGACUUGAUUCCCCGAUGGUUGAAGCGUCGCGUUGGAGUAUGAGGAUUACGCAAGAUAUGCAAUAGAGAACAUUUUGAUAGAAUCUAACUCAGAAAUCGUGAUCAAAGCUAUGAACUCUACAAAUAACCCAUUAAUAUUGCAACAAAUACUCAUGAUUGUUGAGUUCUUGCGCACCUUCCAAAUGAAUAGACAAGCCAACAAUGUGGCUCACACUCUUGCUUCUAUAGUUCUAUACUUCUAUUGCUUUUAAUUUUCCUUCAAACAUUUGAUAGGAUAACCCUCCACAAUCUCUUGAUGAGAGCCAUUUUGUAGACUCUUCAUUUGGUAGGAUAACCCUCCACAAUAUAUGGAACACUUUCCUUAAAACGUUAGAUAAUUGGUUGUUUGUAUAUUCUUGCAAAAUUUACCAACACCUAAACUCCCUAGUCCCUAGCAUUUUGCCAUUUGUUCUCCUGAGCAGUACUCCGACGCCGUUUUGCAUGAACCCUCAUCACAAACACCUCGUCAACCAAGCACUCGUCGCCGUCGUCAAAGACCUCCCAUUCCACGCCGCACCGUCUCCUCCGUCAUGGACCACCGACGCCGUCACGGCCGUCCUCCGCUCCAUCGCCAGGUUCUCCUUCCAAUCCCACCGCUCCAUGGGCCGCCAGAACGGCUUCCGCCACCGCACCCCCCUCCGCCAGCGCAACCUCAACGACGAACACCGCAAGCUCCACGACGGCCUCCUCCUUCUCGGCCCGGCGGCCUACAGGGACCCCCACCGCGUCGACCUCGGGCUCCGUAAAUCCCUCGAGUUCUUCCGCUGGGUCGAAGCCCACUCCGGCUUCACCCACGACGAGGUCACGUGCCGCGAAAUGGCCUGCGUCCUCGUCCGCGCCAACGCCACCAAAACCCUCUGGGGUUUUCUCAAAGAAACCGCCAACAAACACCACAACAACCACCGUAACAACCCCAUCACCACCGCGACCAUCACCUGUUUGAUAAAACUCCUAGGUGAACAAGGGUUGGCCAGUGAAGCCUCACUCACAUUUUACAGAAUGAAACAGUAUCAUUGCAGACCCGACAUUCGCGCUUACAACACUUUAAUCUACGCGCUCUGCAGGGUUGGGAAUUUCGCGAGAGCGAAGUUUUUACUAGAGCAAAUGGAGCUUCCCGGGUUCUGGUGCCCGCCGGAUGCGUUUACUUACACGAUUUUGAUUAGUUCUUAUUGCAGGCACGGCAUUUUAACAGGCUGCCGGAAGGCUACGCGGAGGAGGCUCUAUGAAGCCGGCCGCCUCUUCCGGCUCAUGCUGUUCAAAGGCUUUGUUCCUGAUGUUGUUACUUACAAUGCCUUGAUUGAUGGCUGCUGCAAGACGUAUCGUAUCCAGAGAGCUCUUGAGUUGUUUGAGGAUAUGAAGAAAAAGGGGUGUGCCCCGAACCGGGUUACUUAUGAUUCUUUGAUUAGGUAUUAUAGUGCUACCAAUGAGAUUGACAGGGCUGUUGAGGUUUUAAGGGAUAUGCAGAGGUUGAAUCAUGGGAUUCCUAGUUCUAGUUCUUACACGCCAAUCAUUCACGCGCUUUGUGAAGCUGGAAGGGUUGCUGAGGCUUGGAGUUUUCUUGUUGAGUUAGUUGAUGGCGGCAAUGUACCUCGAGAAUAUACUUAUAGGUUGGUUUGUGAUAAGCUUUGCUUGGCCGGAGAGGAUGGCUUGUUGGGCGAUGAAGUGCAUGAGAGGAUAAAGAAUGGCAUGAGGAAGAGGUACAAGCAAACGAUGAUGGUUAAACCGGUUAUGACUCGCAAGGGUUAUCCUGAGAUUGAGCCAGUUUGAAUUCUUGGAAGAACGGUUUGUGCUCAAUGAAUCAUGAUGCUCAUUUGUUGAGUUUGAACUUCAGUGAAGUGAGGCUGGUGGGCAUGAUUAUCAGUGUAUUAUUUUCUUCUGGUGAUGAUUAUUCAACACAAUGCUUUAUAUCGAGCACCCAAGUUGUUUAUUAAUACAAUUGAAUAAACACCCGACUGUUUGUGUUCUUAAUCAUCCCUGUGGAGAUGGAACAAGUUUGAGUUCUUUCAACAGAUUAAAGUGCUCAAUAUUGAAUUGCCUUUGGAUUUGAGCGUGCAACUAGUGAAGUGAGGGUGCAGGGUAUGAUUGUCGGUUUAUUUAUUUUCUUCAGGUGAUGAUCAUUCAUUGUUUGAACCAGAUUUAGUGGGGGAUCUUGAUUCUUCAGAGACUAGAAAACACUGAUGGGUUAUAGAUAUAAUAACCUUGUAUUGGCUUCUCACCCAUUGUUUCUUAAUUAAAUUGAAGAAAGCAUUCCACAUUCUCCACUCCUGGUUCAGGAAGCUGCCACUGAUUUUCAUUCUCCAAUGUCUGUAGUUUUACACAUUGCUAAUGCAGCAGAGUACACAUUUUGAUGCUGCUGUUCAAAGUAUAUGUCUGAGUCUGACCUCCUUGGGCAGCAAGCAUCUGCAUAAUGAAGUGACCAGUUCAAAACUGGUAUAGGCUAAAUGGAGAAAUGAGAAAUAAAAACUCAUAAGAUCACAUCUGUAACUGGCUGGGUGCUUACACUUCAUAGUUCAUUCAUAGUUCAAAUUGACUGUUGGGCUAAUUUUUCACAAUUAAUCAGGUUUUUCUACAGCAAGUUUUCGAAGAAGGUUUUGACAGCUCUAUGAUUUGCAAUUAUUUGGUCCAUCUAGAAUGUACGCAAUGACAAUGUUAAUUUAUGUAUAUAACUUAUUCUAGAAUGUAUUAAGGUUUUAGCUUGGUAUGUAGACUUUAAGAGUUUAGUUUCUCUUUUGUUUGGUUACUAGGUCAGGAACCUCUUGAGCACUGAGACUCUUAAUACUAGACAAUUGCGGUCAUGACAAGAUAGCACCAAAGCAUCAAUUUGGGAAAAUUCUAUUGAAUCUUUUAGGAAUUUAGAAUCCCAGAGCUGAACCUCUUUUGUGGAGGAAUUUUUCGUAACUUCUUUUCCUUAACCUCAUCCAUGGCAGUUUUUGCCUUUCCAUUGCCAUCAUCUUUUUGAAUCUCUAGACUCUUCCUUUUCUUCUUUGGUAUGACUGGCUUUGGAAUCGUAGAAAAACCCACACCGCUCUCUAUAAUGUUAGCAAUGGGUUGAUCUCAGAACUAAGCCCUAAAUUGUGGAUGUAGGCAACUAGGCACACCAAGUCCAUCAUUCACUUCGUUGAUUGUGUGGUCAGAUGGUUUCAUCACGUGGAUAUAGAAGUUGAUUAGCAUGAUUAUUAGUAUUUUGAUGUGGUCAGAAUGUUAGCAAUGGGUUGAUC
Molecule: RNA transcript, 3369 nt
Organism: Lotus japonicus
Lineage: Eukaryota; Viridiplantae; Streptophyta; Magnoliopsida; Fabales; Fabaceae
Gene name: pentatricopeptide repeat-containing protein At1g77405
Exons: 2
Source: RefSeq, a predicted model, not a curated record